CGGGAAAGGUAAAAGGAUUCAGUGAAGUACGUUCGACUCCUCGAAUAAGAGUCGAAGCAGAAAGGGAGUUGAGCCGGGUUCGACGCCUCGAAUAAAGGGGUCGAGGCAGGAAGAGUUGAGCUGAAGAGAAAUGACACGGAGUGAAUGUAAGGGAGAGGGAGUUAGUUACCUUCCAACCCAUAUAUCAAGCAGUACAACAAGAGCAGCGAGAACAAGUAUAACCAGAACAAUAGCAGGCUCGAACAGUUGCAUUAAGAGCCUCGCUUUCUCAAGUAAGUAAAGGAGUGUAUGACAGUAAGACUUCUGAGCUCUAGCACCGAGGUAAAUACAGUGCACCGAGGUGCAUACAGUGAGUGACUGAGCACAUAAGCAAACAUGGUGUAUUGUGGAGCAUGGCAUUGGACUACUCAAGCCAAGGUUCCGUGUUCUCCAGGGAGAAGUUUGCUUGAACCCAUCAAAGACCUGCCAAGUGAUCACUGCAUGUGGAAUUCUUCAUAACAUAUACAUGAGAUCUAAGUGGUCACUGCCAAGCCCUUUCUUCUGCUUCGGCUGGUGUGGAACUGUCCCUGAGACCAUCAAGUACUUCCUCCCUCACCAUUAAGCCUGCUUAUCUUCCUGCUGGUGGCCUCCCUCCCACCAUAACCUGCUGCUGUCCUGCCUCACCUGUGCCUGACUGAGGAAGACCUGUAAGCUGCUGGCAGACCUGUCAUACUCCUGCAGGACUACCUGAGGGCUCAUAAGUAGCAACACAUCUUCACAGAAGAAAACUUUCAAUAUAUGUAUUUUUCAUAUUUGUCAUUAGGAUAAUAAAGUACAAAUGAUGUUUGA
This 828-nucleotide long non-coding RNA is filed under the name Portunus trituberculatus (swimming crab). RNAcentral's name for it is "uncharacterized LOC123501430, transcript variant X1". Lineage: Eukaryota; Metazoa; Arthropoda; Malacostraca; Decapoda; Portunidae. The record is from RNAcentral.